Molecule: ribosomal RNA, 253 nt
Filed under: uncultured bacterium
Lineage: Bacteria
Description: partial 16S ribosomal RNA
Rfam family: Bacterial small subunit ribosomal RNA
Source: RNAcentral
UACGUAGGGGGCAAGCGUUGUCCGGAAUCAUUGGGCGUAAAGAGCGUGUAGGCGGCCUGUUGCGUCCGCUGUGAAAGCCCGGGGCUUAACCCCGGGUCGGCAGUGGAUACGGGCAGGCUAGAGGUAGGUAGGGGAGAAUGGAAUUCCCGGUGUAGCGGUGAAAUGCGCAGAUAUCGGGAGGAAUACCAGUGGCGAAGGCGGCUUUCUGGGUUACCACUGACGCUGAGGAGCGAAAGCGUGGGGAGCGAACGGG